GGGUCUCAAAGAGUCAGACAUGACUUAGCAUCUAAGCCAUCAACACCAUAGAUGUGUAUAUGUAUGUAUAUAUACAUACAUAUGUGUGUGUGUGUAUACAUACAUACAUGCUAUCGGUUCUGUUUCUCUGGAGAGUCUUAGCUAAUAUUUCUUCCUUUCCAGUGUCCCAGUAACAGAAAAAAAAAAAAAGGCUAAAUCAAUCUACCAAGGCCUUGGUGUAAAGACCUUGGGGUCAUCCUUGCCUAUCCUCUUUUUUCCACACCUAAGAUUCAACGCAAAGCAAAUCAUGUCAGGUCUACAUUUCAAGUAUAUCCAGAACCUGACUGAAACUUAUUUUGCCUCUUGCCACCAGCAUGGGCUGAACUUCUGUCUCCCCUCACCUGGGCAAAUGCAGUGGUGUCUUAACUAGUCUCCCUGCUUCCACCCCUGCUCCUUUAUAGCCAACUAUCUUCACAGCAACCAGAUGAUUCCUUCUCAAACGUGUCAGUCAAAUAUUCUCAUUUGGGGUGAAAUCCAAAGUCUUCACCAUGGCUUGCCAGUCCCUGCAGGGUCUGGCUGCUCCUUCUUCUUCACUGGCUCUGUCUCCCAGCACUCCUUGUUCACUCUGCUUUCUGGCCUCCUUGCCUUUCUUCUUCUUCUUCAUUUUAACAGGCCAGAAAUUCUCUCUCUGAAAUGUCCUAUUCUCAAGUACCCAUACCUGCCUGCAUGCUAAGUCACUUCUGUUGUGUCCGACUCUUUGCAACCCUAUGGGCAGUAACCAGCCAGGCUCCUCUGUCCAUGGGGAUUCUCCAGGCAAGAAUACUGGAAUGGGUUGCCAUGCCCUCCUCCAGGGGAUCUUCGUGACCCAGGGAUGGAACUUGCGUGUCUUAUGUCUCCUGCAUUGUUUACUACUAGCAGCCCCCCGGGAAGCCCCAAUUAUUCAUAGGGUCUUCCUAAAUUCCCUCAGGCACGUCCCUCAGAGACUUCCCCUAUGUGAAACAAUUCUCCCCCAGCAUCUGAUCUUUUUUUUGAGCCAUAUUUCACCACCAGGCAUACAGUAUGUCUUAUUUAUCUUCCAAGUCCCCCUCUGGCACGUGAGACCCAUGAAAGUAGAUUGUUUCCUUGUUUCUCUGAGUUCUGAAUGUGGAGCAGAGGUUGGCACCUGGGGGGGCACUCAAUACCUGUUUGUUGAUGAAUGAAUGAGGUUUCUUUCUGUACACUGAAGUAAACAAGAUACUUCUGAUAUAAUAACAGCUAACAUUUAUAGAGCACAUGGGCUUCCCUGGUGGCUCAGAUGGUAGAGAAUCUACUUGCAGUGCAGGAGACCUGGGUUUGAUCCCUGGUCAGGAAGAUCCCUGGAGAAGGGAAUGGCAACUCACUCCAGUAUUCUUGCCUGGGGAAUCCCAUGGACAGAGGAGCCUGGUGGGCUACAGCCCAUGGGUUGCAAACAGCUGGACAUGACUACGCACACACAGCACACUCACAGAGCACAGUCUACGUGGUGCUAGGCCAUGUUUCUGAUGUGGGGAUGCUAUAAAUGAACUCAUUUCAUUGCCACAACCCUAGCAUUUUCUGAAUGAGUAAACCGAGGCAGAGGUAAUUCUGCCAAUAUCACACAGCUGAUAAAGAAUGGAGCCUGACUUCCAGCCCAGGCCAAUUCCAGUUCCACAAUAUGUGUGUGUGCUUAGUCCCUCAGUUGGGAGGGGGUAGCCAUUUCCUUCUCCAGGGUAUCUUCCUAACUCAAGAAUCGAGCCUGUGUCUCCUGCAUCAGCAGGUGGGUUUUUACCACUGAGCCACCAGGGAAGCCAUUGCAACAUGUAACCUUUCCUCUGUCCACGGUGAUUCUCCAGGCAAGAAUACUGGAGUGGGUUGCCACGCUCUCUCCUCCAGGGGAUCUUCCCAACCCAGGGAUCGAACCCAGGUUUCCCACAUUGCAGGUGGAUUCCUUAACAUCUGGGCCACCAGGGAAGCCCAAGAAUACUGGAGUGGAUAGCCUACCUCUUAUCCAGGGUAACUUCCCGACCCAGGAAUCAAACAAGGGUCUCCUGCAUUGCAGGCAGAU
Molecule: long non-coding RNA, 2041 nt
Organism: Bos taurus (domestic cattle)
Lineage: Eukaryota; Metazoa; Chordata; Mammalia; Artiodactyla; Bovidae
Source: Ensembl